ACUCAAAUGGAUCUCCUGUGUUUGCUUGGCAGGUCGAAAUCUAUCCUCUAAAAAUCCAUUUGACAGAAACAAUGUACACAAUGAUGUGGGAGUAUAUCUUUCCAGGAGAGGAGCAACAUUCACAGAGAAGGGAGGAAGUUUGGAAAGUGUCGACAACCUCAGGUUCAAAGCGAGUCAGGAAGGGUUCAUUUGCUGAAGCGGCAGCGUUGCUCUCUACAUCUGAUUUAAGCCAGGGGUCAAAGAAUCAAAACCUAAAGUCAAGCACGAU
Camelina sativa (false flax) is the source of this 268-nucleotide non-coding RNA. Lineage: Eukaryota; Viridiplantae; Streptophyta; Magnoliopsida; Brassicales; Brassicaceae. The record is from RefSeq and is a predicted model, not a curated record.